UCCUAUCAGUCUCCGCCAUUGCCUUCCUCACCAUCAUCACCGGCAUCAUUUAUUAAUCUUAAAUUAUUGGUACAUUCAUGUAUUGGUGAGAUAGAUUAGCCACAUGGUGUUUUUUCACUAACAAACCUUUUGAGGAAUUGUAGUAGGGGUGGAGGAUGACUGUUGCCACUCUCGUCCUGGGGGUCUCGGAGCGUCGACUGCUUCGAGAAAUUGGAGCAGAUUGGUGAAGGCACAUACGGGUGAGCGCAAUGACCGGUCAAAGUUCUCUGUUUAAUUACUCAGUUGCGUUGAUUCCCGGACUGGUUUAAUUUGUAUUUCUGGAUGCUUGAU
Molecule: long non-coding RNA, 330 nt
Filed under: Elaeis guineensis (African oil palm)
Lineage: Eukaryota; Viridiplantae; Streptophyta; Magnoliopsida; Arecales; Arecaceae
Description: long non-coding RNA (EGUI_LNC002821)
Source: RNAcentral